UGAGACCUCAGGUCAGGCGGGGCUACCCGCUGAAUU
RNAcentral lists this ribosomal RNA (36 nucleotides) under Trigonella foenum-graecum. RNAcentral describes it as "partial 28S ribosomal RNA". The record is from RNAcentral. Lineage: Eukaryota; Viridiplantae; Streptophyta; Magnoliopsida; Fabales; Fabaceae.